Molecule: long non-coding RNA, 436 nt
Organism: Penaeus chinensis
Lineage: Eukaryota; Metazoa; Arthropoda; Malacostraca; Decapoda; Penaeidae
Exons: 4
Source: RefSeq, a predicted model, not a curated record
UAGACAGUCCUUCACCUCGCAGGCCAUCCGAGGAGAGCGUCGCUGGAAACCGCCUCCCGCAGGACCCCCUCGCAGUGCGGCCGACCCGCGCCCUGCCCCGAGGCUCCCCCUGAGGCCCUGCCCCGAGGCUCCCCCCGAGGCCGGCCGGACCUCGAGGAGCAGCGAAGGAGAAGCUGGUCCUCGGGUUCAGCAUUUAAAGGAUAUAAAAGUAACUAGAUACAAGAAAGUAAGAAAGAAAAAAAAAUGAGAUCUCUAUCCCCCUGAAAAAAGGUGUUUCCUCAUCAGCUGUUUCGGCCAAAACAUUGCAUCAUUGGAGAAGCAGAAAGGAGGAAUAGAUAACAAUGUACGAGUGGAGAAAUUCGACCGGCCGGCUCUCGGCUCCUUCAGUGCAGACUCCAGCGAAACUGGGGGCUACUGCUGAGGGUCCAGGCAUCAU